GCACCGGCUAACUUCGUGCCAGCAGCCGCGGUAAUACGAAGGGUGCAAGCGUUACUCGGAAUUACUGGGCGUAAAGCGUGCGUAGGUGGUUGUUUAAGUCUGCUGUGAAAGCCCUGGGCUCAACCUGGGAAUUGCAGUGGAUACUGGGCGACUAGAGUGUGGUAGAGGAUAGUGGAAUUUCCGGUGUAGCAGUGAAAUGCGUAGAGAUCGGAAGGAACAUCUGUGGCGAAGGCGACUAUCUGGGCCAACACUGACACUGAGGCACGAAAGCGUGGGGAGCAAACAGGAUUAGAUACCCUGGUAGUCCACGCCCUAAACGAUGCGAACUGGAUGUUGGGUGCAACUUGGCACCCAGUAUCGAAGCUAACGCGUUAAGUUCGCCGCCUGGGGAGUACGGUCGCAAGACUGAAACUCAAAGGAAUUGACGGGG
This 430-nucleotide ribosomal RNA is filed under the name Pseudoxanthomonas wuyuanensis. RNAcentral's name for it is "bacterial SSU rRNA". It matches the Rfam family "Bacterial small subunit ribosomal RNA", at positions 490 to 918 of the family's 1533-position model. Lineage: Bacteria; Pseudomonadati; Pseudomonadota; Gammaproteobacteria; Lysobacterales; Lysobacteraceae. The record is from RNAcentral.